Molecule: ribosomal RNA, 1499 nt
Filed under: Salmonella enterica subsp. enterica serovar Derby
Lineage: Bacteria; Pseudomonadati; Pseudomonadota; Gammaproteobacteria; Enterobacterales; Enterobacteriaceae
Description: partial 23S ribosomal RNA
Rfam family: Bacterial large subunit ribosomal RNA
Source: RNAcentral
GGGUUGUGAGGUUAAGCGACUAAGCGUACACGGUGGAUGCCCUGGCAGUCAGAGGCGAUGAAGGGCGUGCUAAUCUGCGAUAAGCGCCGGUAAGGUGAUAUGAACCGUUAUAACCGGCGAUACCCGAAUGGGGAAACCCAGUGUGACUCGUCACACUAUCAUUAACUGAAUCCAUAGGUUAAUGAGGCGAACCGGGGGAACUGAAACAUCUAAGUACCCCGAGGAAAAGAAAUCAACCGAGAUUCCCCCAGUAGCGGCGAGCGAACGGGGAGGAGCCCAGAGCCUGAAUCAGCAUGUGUGUUAGUGGAAGCGUCUGGAAAGGCGCGCGAUACAGGGUGACAGCCCCGUACACAAAAGCGCAUGUGCUGUGAGCUCGAUGAGUAGGGCGGGACACGUGGUAUCCUGUCUGAAUAUGGGGGGACCAUCCUCCAAGGCUAAAUACUCCUGACUGACCGAUAGUGAACCAGUACCGUGAGGGAAAGGCGAAAAGAACCCCGGCGAGGGGAGUGAAAAAGAACCUGAAACCGUGUACGUACAAGCAGUGGGAGCCUCACCACUAAGCCAGUGGUGAACUCCACAUACGCAUCCUUUGCUGAGGAUACGGUUAACGGAGCGCAAGCGACGUUCAACCGCAAAAGAAGCAGAGGGGGCUUAGUGGUGGGGUGACUGCGUACCUUUUGUAUAAUGGGUCAGCGACUUAUAUUCUGUAGCAAGGUUAACCGUAUAGGGGAGCCGCAGGGAAACCGAGUCUUAACCGGGCGUUAAGUUGCAGGGUAUAGACCCGAAACCCGGUGAUCUAGCCAUGGGCAGGUUGAAGGUUGGGUAACACUAACUGGAGGACCGAACCGACUAAUGUUGAAAAAUUAGCGGAUGACCUGUGGCUGGGGGUGAAAGGCCAAUCAAACCGGGAGAUAGCUGGUUCUCCCCGAAAGCUAUUUAGGUAGCGCCUCGUGAAUUCAUCUCCGGGGGUAGAGCACUGUUUCGGCUAGGGGGCCAUCCCGGCUUACCAACCCGAUGCAAACUGCGAAUACCGGAGAAUGUUAUCACGGGAGACACACGGCGGGUGCUAACGUCCGUCGUGAAGAGGGAAACAACCCAGACCGCCAGCUAAGGUCCCAAAGUCAUGGUUAAGUGGGAAACGAUGUGGGAAGGCCCAGACAGCCAGGAUGUUGGCUUAGAAGCAGCCAUCAUUUAAAGAAAGCGUAAUAGCUCACUGGUCGAGUCGGCCUGCGCGGAAGAUGUAACGGGGCUAAACCAUGCACCGAAGCUGCGGCAGCGAACGUAUCACUUAAAGCGAUUCAGCGGGUUACGAUUGACGGAGCGAAGCGACGUCAAAGCGUAUACAAAGUCGAGUCGGUUUAAGGAUACGUUCGUUGGGUAGGGGAGCGUUCUGUAAGCCUGUGAAGGUGGCCUGUGAGGGUUGCUGGAGGUAUCAGAAGUGCGAAUGCUGACAUAAGUAACGAUAAAGCGGGUGAAAAGCCCGCUCGCCGGAAGACCAA